UACGGGGGGGGCAAGCGUUGUUCGGAAUUACUGGGCGUAAAGGGCUCGUAGGUGGCCAACUAAGUCAGACGUGAAAUCCCUCGGCUUAACCGGGGAACUGCGUCUGAUACUGGAUGGCUUGAGUUUGGGAGAGGGAUGCGGAAUUCCAGGUGUAGCGGUGAAAUGCGUAGAUAUCUGGAGGAACACCGGUGGCGAAGGCGGCGUUCUGGACUGCAACUGACACUGAGAAACGAAAGCCAGGGUAGCAAACGGG
RNAcentral lists this ribosomal RNA (253 nucleotides) under uncultured bacterium. RNAcentral's name for it is "partial 16S ribosomal RNA". It matches the Rfam family "Bacterial small subunit ribosomal RNA", at positions 524 to 776 of the family's 1533-position model. The record is from RNAcentral.